GGCCUCCCUCUGUGGGGUGAUCGAUCACGGGGCCCUCAGAUCAAUCACCCCGCAGAGGGAGGCC
Non-coding RNA from Myotis brandtii (Brandt's bat), 64 nucleotides. NCBI's taxonomy places the organism in Eukaryota, Metazoa, Chordata, Mammalia, Chiroptera, Vespertilionidae. The record is from Rfam.